AUUGAACGCUGGCGGAAUGCUUUACACAUGCAAGUCGAACGGCAGCACGGACUUCGGUCUGGUGGCGAGUGGCGAACGGGUGAGUAAUACAUCGGAACGUGCCCAGUCGUGGGGGAUAACGUAGCGAAAGCUACGCUAAUACCGCAUACGAUCUAAGGAUGAAAGCGGGGGAUCGCAAGACCUCGCGCGAUUGGAGCGGCCGAUGGCAGAUUAGGUAGUUGGUAGGGUAAAGGCCUACCAAGCCGACGAUCUGUAGCUGGUCUGAGAGGGUGAUCAGCCAGACUGGGACUGAGACACGGCCCAGACUCCUACGGGAGGCAGCAGUGGGGAAUUUUGGACAAUGGACGCAAGUCUGAUCCAGCCAUUCCGCGUGCAGGAUGAAGGCCCUCGGGUUGUAAACUGCUUUUGUACAGAACGAAAAGGCUCUGGUUAAUACCUGGGGCUCAUGACGGUACUGUAAGAAUAAGCACCGGCUAACUACGUGCCAGCAGCCGCAGUAA
This 500-nucleotide ribosomal RNA is filed under the name uncultured bacterium. RNAcentral's name for it is "partial 16S ribosomal RNA". It matches the Rfam family "Bacterial small subunit ribosomal RNA", at positions 30 to 523 of the family's 1533-position model. The record is from RNAcentral.